This 422-nucleotide ribosomal RNA is filed under the name uncultured bacterium. Its description in RNAcentral is "bacterial SSU rRNA". It matches the Rfam family "Bacterial small subunit ribosomal RNA", at positions 355 to 774 of the family's 1533-position model. The record is from RNAcentral.
UGAGGAAUAUUGGGCAAUGCCCGCAAGGGUGACCCAGCAACGCCGCGUGGAGGAUGAAUGUCGUAAGAUUGUAAACUCCUGUUAGAGGGGAAGAAUAGUACCGGUUGGACCGGUAUAUGACUGUACCCUCAGAGAAAGCCCCGGCUAACUACGUGCCAGCAGCCGCGGUAAUACGUAGGGGGCAAGCGUUGUCCGGAUUUACUGGGUGUAAAGGGCGCGCAGGCGGGAUAAAAAGUCAGUGGUGAAAUCCUACAGCUUAACUGGAGAACUGCCUUGGAUACGUUUAUUCUUGAGGUCGGGAGGGNGAGACGGAAUUCCAGGUGUAGUGGUGAAAUACGUAGAUAUCUGGAAGAACACCAGUUGCGAAGGCGGUCUCUUGGUCCGACACUGACGCUGAGGCGCGAAAGCGUGGGGAGCAAACA